RNAcentral lists this transfer RNA (91 nucleotides) under Cycloclasticus sp. Its description in RNAcentral is "tRNA-Ser". It matches the Rfam family "tRNA". Rfam says of the family: Transfer RNA (tRNA) molecules are approximately 80 nucleotides in length. Their secondary structure includes four short double-helical elements and three loops (D, anti-codon, and T loops). RNAcentral also lists the same sequence under 1 other name. Lineage: Bacteria; Pseudomonadati; Pseudomonadota; Gammaproteobacteria; Thiotrichales; Piscirickettsiaceae. The record is from RNAcentral.
GGAGGGAUGGCAGAGCGGUUUAAUGCGCACGCUUGGAAAGCGUGUAAUCGUGAAUAACGAUUCGAGGGUUCAAAUCCCUCUUCCUCCACCA